UUGAAGGCUGAAAUUCGCCUUCAUGAAGCUGGAAUUGCUAGUAAUGGCAGGUCAGCAUACUGCCGUGAAUACGUUCCCGGGCCUUGUACACACCGCCCGUCACACCAUGAGAGUUGGGAAUACCCGAAGCCUGUGAGCUAACUUUAAGAGGCAGCAGUCGAAGGUAGAAUCAAUGAUUGGGGUGAAGUCGUAACAAGGUAAC
RNAcentral lists this ribosomal RNA (202 nucleotides) under uncultured bacterium. RNAcentral's name for it is "partial 16S ribosomal RNA". It matches the Rfam family "Bacterial small subunit ribosomal RNA", at positions 1298 to 1500 of the family's 1533-position model. The record is from RNAcentral.